Molecule: ribosomal RNA, 464 nt
Filed under: uncultured bacterium
Lineage: Bacteria
Description: partial 16S ribosomal RNA
Rfam family: Bacterial small subunit ribosomal RNA
Source: RNAcentral
CUACGGGGUGCAGCAGUGAGGAAUUUUGCGCAAUGGGGGAAACCCUGACGCAGCAACGCCGCGUGAGCGAAGAAGGCCUUCGGGUCGUAAAGCUCUGUCAAGUGGGAAAAAAAUUCUUUGAUGAACAGUCAAAGGACUUGAUGGUACCACUGGAGGAAGCACCGGCUAACUCCGUGCCAGCAGCCGCGGUAAUACGGAGGGUGCAAGCGUUGUUCGGAAUUACUGGGCGUAAAGAGCGUGUAGGCGGUUUGACAAGUCAGAUGUGAAAGCCCCGGGCUCAACCAGGGAAGUGCAUUUGAAACUGUUUCACUAGAGUAUGGGAGAGGAGAUUGGAAUUCCUGGUGUAGAGGUGAAAUUCGUAGAUAUCAGGAGGAACACCCGUGGCGAAGGCGAUUCUCUGGACCAAUACUGACGCUGAGACGCGAAAGCGUGGGGAGCAAACAGGAUUAGAUACCCCUGUAGUC